RNAcentral lists this ribosomal RNA (4482 nucleotides) under Triticum aestivum (bread wheat). RNAcentral's name for it is "partial small subunit ribosomal RNA". Lineage: Eukaryota; Viridiplantae; Streptophyta; Magnoliopsida; Poales; Poaceae. The record is from RNAcentral.
GGAAUUGAAUCUUUACCCAUUCUCUUACUUAGGUAGAAGUCUGCCAUUUUAAGUUCUACACAUGUUGUGUACACUCGCAAUAAUAAACCCAUAAAGAUACAGCACGAGAAAAAAAAAUCGGUGUGGAUACACAAGCCAGGUAGACUUAAGACUUAUCUAUUCGUCUGGUUUUUCAGAAGCAGUGCACGUUACGGUCCUAAAAAAGACCUUAACGCAGGUAUUUUGUUGUUGUCACACGUCAAAAGGUCACCGGGCCGUCGCUGCUUCCAACAACAAGACUUAUAGGUCUAUCGAUCCCCUUUCACACGGCGGCCGCUACCCGAACCUCGCUCCGCUCUUCGGCGUGCGGCACACGGACGGCCGUGGCCGCGUUCCCGUGUAGUGCGACUACGACCUCUACCGGUUCGACGAGGUGCGGGCCCCGAAGGUGUAGUGGAAGCAGUUGUGGCUCAAGUUGGUAGCGGCCGACGAGGUGAGGGCGCCCUGCCGCCGUGAGCUGCCGGAGGGCUCGAAGGCGAAGCGGCGCUAUGGUCUGCCUGAGGGGCGCAGUCUGCGGCUGCGCUGGGUCCUGCAGGGUCGGGACACGAUGCGGUACUACUGGUGGAAAGAGGGGGCGGAUGCCCGGGAAGAACGGUUCGAGUUGCUGGGCUCGAGGCCCCACAGCGGCUAGUGGACGGAGCAGCAGCUGCCACAGCGUAGCAAGUCGAUGCUACGGCGCUUCCUCGAGCCGCACGGAACGCGGCGCAACACCUGCAGGUCACGGACGCCCAAGUACCCAAUGGCGGUGAAGGCAGCCGAAUAGCUGGCACCAGAACACGGAAAGUUUCUGCUCCUCGUCGACUGCCUGUUACCCAUAGAGCUAUGCGGCCAGCUGCCGUACUCGCCGUACACGCUACCGUAUGCCGACGCGCUGAAGGGCUGCUACUAGGCGUGGUGGCUGGCGCUGCUGUGGUACGAGUUGAUGCAGUACGCGCUCCGGUUCUCCGACAGCGAGGGGCUGCGGCACGACGAGUUGUGGAAGCUGCGUGACCUCGUCGGCCAAGAGUUGCGGUACGCGCGGUAGGAGGGCGGGUACAUGUGGCAGCCAGGCGACGUAGAGGUGAGGUCGUCGCCGCAGGGGUGGCCGUGGGGCGAGCUGCCGGAGCCGAGGUUGGAGACCUUCCUCGUCCUGCCGGAGGAGCUCACCGAGCUGCCCGUGCCGCGGCCUCGGCAGCACAUGCAGUUGAUGCCUUCGCAGCGACACUACUGCUUGCUCGUCGAGGAUCUCAAGCCCACCCCCGACCGGCUGUCGCCGAUGCGCAAGUAUACCUUGUAGGCCGGCCUGGAGCAAUCCCCUCUCUGCCGGCACUACGGCGGCCUCAAGGACCGUAGCCAAGUGCCGGCGCGGUACGAGUGCUGCACCACGGGCGUCCGCCUCCAGGAGUCCGUGCUCCGCCACCCCCGCAAGGACUGCGUGAGGCCUUAGGCCUACCUUGAGGUGCGAGCUACUACACGACCGGCAAGCGGCCCCUCGUCGUCUGGUUGACAGCCAUGUUCAUGUGGCUCACCCCCUAGCCCUAACUCUAGCCGCCGCUCCACUUCGCCCGCCUUCACCGCCGCUACUAUGCGCUCCGCUACCACCCCCCUUUCCCUGCCCUCUACUCCGCCGCGGGGCGCCUCACCUUCCUUUUCCGGGUCGCACGCAGCGACGGUCCACCCCGGCGCCUCCGGUUGGAUCUGCUCCACUAAGCAUCGCACGAGGAGCGUUCAUGUUGCGCGGACGAUUUUUAGUCAGUUGACUGUAAAUUGAUUCAGAGUGAGUUGGUACGUUAUAAAAUACAGUAGCAAACGUUGUAAAAAGAGAUGAUUGACGUUAUAGGCCCAAAAAAUCUCCUUUUUUCGUUGUACGGGAUCGAGGUAAGGUAAUGCUUUACUUUGUGUCUCAAAUCUAGAAUGUUUUCAUCGUGUGUCUCCUCGUCGUUUGGGUGACGGAGUCGGUGUUACGCCUUUACGCGGGGUAUUUCUUUUCAUCAUGUUUUGUAUUUAAUCGACCGGAUAAUGUAUUUACUUUCAAGUGGGCACAAAUGUGGUAUCAACGGAUCCAUGUCCCCUCGGGGUAAAAUGUAGAUGAGGGGUCGAUGGUCUUCUAGAAGUCACUCGUAACAGGGUGAAGUCGGUCCUAGACCGGUGUAGUCUUCUCCCCCCCGAGGAGCGGUCAACGAGGUCGAGGGAACUGGUAAAAAGGUCGAACAAGGACCGUACUGGACUCCUAUCCGUAAGGGUGUUUCUAUCUAAGCUGCGUCAAAAAGCGGUAUAUCGGACGUAGGGUCCGGUCUGUUAUCGUAGCUUUUGGUACAAUAACGCUCAAAAAGUCUAUCGGGUGACCGGUCGACGUACAUACUAUAACUAACGUCGUUUAGAUAGAGGAGAUCUGGUUGUCCUUCUCUUCCUGUAGUAUAACUACAGGGGGCGUUUUGGUCAAUCGGAUAACUAUCUAGAGGUAUUAAGUCAUCGUUGUUGUGUUGGUUUUUUAUUUACCAUCGUUCUAUGGUCGAGUCUCGUUUUAUGUGUUCAAUGUGGUUUUGUCAAACGGAGAAUUGAUUUGACAGAGAUCACUCGUACAGCAGGGAGUAGCUAACAUCCUGUGCAGUAGAGUCGCCAACGUUGUAGGAAGUAACUGCCGAUAUCGUAAAGUAAAUCUUACCAACAGCGUAAAUAAUAACAACGAACGUUAUGGUAGCAUUGUGAAAAAACAGGGGCAAACAUUGUAGGUCAGCACGGCGAACAUCGUUUUUUGGUGCGGCUGCAGUGAGCCGACUCUGAAACAAUUCAGAGUUAGCUGACUCAAAAUCUGUGCGGGUAAUUUGUUUCGAAGUGCCCCUAACAAUUUUUUCUACCCCCGGUCGCGAGACACGGCCAGCUGGCCGCGUUGGGGGACAGAUUCGGCGUGCCAACUCUAACAACAGUUGCAACCUACACGGACAACGCAGUAAGCGAAGAGCAGAGCGUGUCUUUAUUUUGGGACUGAGGAUAACGUGUGCCUGUUGUUUAAGUUGUCUCGUAGGCCUGGUUGGACACCAACGUGACAAUAAGAUCUUGAAACACACGAGUUCUAGUAUGUUGAACAACGAAAUCCUUCCUAUGAUUUGUGGGAGCCAAGGUUAGACUCAUGUUACUAUUACUGUGUAACCGAAAAAUAUAACUCCUACGUAUACUAAUAAUACUAUAUAUUGUUUGAUUUCUUAGAUAACGAAAAUCCCCACGAAUACUUUAACGGAGAAACGGAUUUAAACUUUGAUUACUACGAGGAACAUUUAGAUUUUUGAAACGAUAUCAAUUUAUAACGAAGUUUUUAAAGUUAUUGUUAGGAAUAUAAUGAUUACUAUAAUUCUUUCAGAAGCAGCAGGCUCUUCUCUAAAUACAAAACGUCCAUGGUUACCUUCUUCUUUAAUGACUUUAACUAACGAGAAAUGUACUUUUUCUACUCCUUCUCACUUCUUGUUCCUCCUUCUCGCCCAACUAUUGGAAACGGGUUGGAGGUAAAUCCCAAUGACAAAGUGACAAACGGAAACGGAUUGAAACGUUUACUCCUCGUCGAUUCCUUGUUAACCAUAGAGCUGUGCAGCCAGUUACUGUACUCGCUGUACACGUUGCUGUAUACCGACCCACUGAAGACUGCUAAUAGGUCUGGCAGUCCAAAGUACAGCUUGUUGCAGUACGCGCUCCGACUCUCCAACAGCGAGGAACUGUGCAGGAAGAGUUGUGUAAAAGUGCGUGAACUAGUCAGCCAAGAGCUACGUUACGUGCGGUAGGAGGGCGGGAAAAUGUAGUAGCUAGGCGAUGUAGAGGUGCGGUCUUUGCGGCGGGGGGACAGCCACAGUUUUGGCCGCCUAGAGCCCAUCCCCCAGGGCUUGACACGAAGAUCCGCCUACCAUUGUCCUCUGUUCCCUGUGCUACAAAAAUGGGUCCAAGCCCGGGAGAGCUACCUCUGUGGCCUCUCCCGAUCUCAAUGUGUCUCAGCCAAUGUUACCCUCCUCUAGAAGUAUAGCAUAGCGGUUCGAACGGAAGGUGCGGUUCCUUUCAGGGUAGGCCUGUGCCCUGCCUCAGAAGUUAGAACAUAGAAGUAUCAGGCCCUCAGGCCGGUUUCCAGUAUCAGGCCGGUAGGCCUGUGGGGGAUUAGGUCCUGAGGGAGUCAUCGGGGACUUGGUCCGAAGUUACUGCUGCUCAGGCCGUGCGUUCAACAGAAGCCGUAACGUUCCGCCCAAGGAGGAGGCUUAUAAAGUAUCUUCUACAACUUGUGGUCCCAUCACAGGCCGAGACGUUUUAUUCAAGGUGUAAGGAAGCAUCUCUCUUAUUAUAAACAUAAUUAGCCUAGACGACUGCAUAAGACACCGCACUGUAGUACGGUGUCGGUCCGAGAAAUAAAUAAAGUAACAAGGUAGAGUCGCGCAAAUCGCUCCGCCAAAUGAACCGUGCAGAACAGUUUCGUCUCUAGCACAGGGG